GACGAACGCUGGCGGCGUGCCUAAUACAUGCAAGUAGAACGCUGAAGGAGGAGCUUGCUUCUCUGGAUGAGUUGCGAACGGGUGAGUAACGCGUAGGUAACCUGCCUGGUAGCGGGGGAUAACUAUUGGAAACGAUAGCUAAUACCGCAUAAGAGUAGAUGUCGCAUGACAUUUGCUUAAAAGGUGCAAUUGCAUCACUACCAGAUGGACCUGCGUUGUAUUAGCUAGUUGGUGAGGUAACGGCUCACCAAGGCAACGAUACAUAGCCGACCUGAGAGGGUGAUCGGCCACACUGGGACUGAGACACGGCCCAGACUCCUACGGGGGGCAGCAGUAGGGAAUCUUCGGCAAUGGACGGAAGUCUGACCGAGCAACGCCGCGUGAGUGAAGAAGGUUUUCGGAUCGUAAAGCUCUGUUGUAAGAGAAGAACGAGUGUGAGAGUGGAAAGUUCACACUGUGACGGUAUCUUACCAGAAAGGGACGGCUAACUACGUG
Molecule: ribosomal RNA, 495 nt
Filed under: uncultured bacterium
Lineage: Bacteria
Description: partial 16S ribosomal RNA
Rfam family: Bacterial small subunit ribosomal RNA
Source: RNAcentral